Molecule: ribosomal RNA, 442 nt
Filed under: uncultured bacterium
Lineage: Bacteria
Description: partial 16S ribosomal RNA
Rfam family: Bacterial small subunit ribosomal RNA
Source: RNAcentral
CCUACGGGAGGCAGCAGUAGGGAAUAUUCGGCAAUGGGCGCAAGCCUGACCGAGCAAUGCCGCGUGAGGGAAGAAGGCUUUCGGGUCGUAAACCUCUUUGAUAGGGGAAGAGCAGAAGACGGUACCCUGAAAACAAGCCACGGCUAACUACGUGCCAGCAGCCGCGGUAAUACGGAGGUGGCAAGCGUUGUCCGGAUUUACUGGGCGGAAAGGGCGUGUAGCCGGGAAGGCAAGUCAGAUGUGAAAUCUGGAGGCUCAACCUCCAAAUUGCAUUGGAAACUGUUUUUCUUGAGUGCUGGAGGGGCGGACGGAAUUCCAUGUGUAGCGGUGAAAUGCGUAGAUAUAAGGAGGAACACCAGUGGCGAAGGCGGUCCGCUGGACAGCAACUGACGGUGAGGCGCGAAAGCGUGGGGAGCAAACAGGAUUAGAUACCCGAGUAGUC